UGCAGCUUCAGAUUGGCUCAUGCAGGGA
This 28-nucleotide non-coding RNA is filed under the name Mus musculus (house mouse). The record is from RNAcentral. Lineage: Eukaryota; Metazoa; Chordata; Mammalia; Rodentia; Muridae.